Molecule: small nucleolar RNA, 72 nt
Organism: Bombina bombina (fire-bellied toad)
Lineage: Eukaryota; Metazoa; Chordata; Amphibia; Anura; Bombinatoridae
Source: RefSeq, a predicted model, not a curated record
CUGGAAAUGAUGCUUGUUUUAUAAACUGAAGUUUUCUAAUGAUUGUUUCAGUGUUCGUACUGUCUGAUCCAU